AGUCACACCGUUUCGAAGAGGUUUUACCAUUUACUUUUACGCUACUUACUCGCCUAUAUAUACUAACCCUUUUCUUUCAUGGAAAAUCAUCUUGAAAAAUAUGAAUUGUAAAGAUUGCCGGAAGAAACAGAGACAACAAUUACUACGAAUUGUUAACGGCGAUACCGUUAUGGACGAGGGUGGUUUGUUCAAGGUUUGAUCGGAACGACCCGGUUGAAUGUUAAUAGUUUAUCCAUGAAGAAACCUUCCAGUUGUGGUGAUCUAGCGGUAGGCCGGUUCGACGGUCGGAUUAUUAAGUGAUUUAAACUUUUGUUAAAGAUGGCGACGGUCUUAUUUUAGAUAUGCAUUCCAUUUGCCGCCUGCCAAGUAUAUAAAUGAUGGUGAAGAUGAGGACUUCGGUGGUAAAGUGAGAAAUUUGAAAAGUUGAAUAUGAAGAUAAAGAAAAUAUGCAGGGAUGAGCGUUUAAUUCUUUUAUCACUUACGAGGAAAAUCUUCAACCAAUUCUUUUAUCAGUUACGAGAAAAUCUUCAACCAAGAAGAAUGUAGAACAGGGCAUCCCGGAAGUUGCGUGCCAGACCCCUGUUAUGAAAAAAGUUACAAUAAAAAACAAAGAAAAAAUCGAAUCUUUAUAAUUGAUCAUUAAACCGACACCAAAAUAUCAUAUUCAGUUAUAGACUAAACCGGAUUGUUCAAUUUCGAAGAGUUCCAAGAAAGAAAAUGAUGAACAGGGUAUCGCAUGGCUUCUGUGACGAGAAAUACUGAAAACAAAAUGGAAAUCAUUUUGGCUUAAUCAAAAUGCAUCAAAAGGAAUUAUGAAGAACCGAUGUUUGGAAAACAAAAGUUUUGUUAUGAUAAAAAGAUAUAAGUUUUAUUUAUUUG
Long non-coding RNA from Helianthus annuus (common sunflower), 879 nucleotides. RefSeq lists it as uncharacterized. NCBI's taxonomy places the organism in Eukaryota, Viridiplantae, Streptophyta, Magnoliopsida, Asterales, Asteraceae. The transcript has 2 exons. The record is from RefSeq and is a predicted model, not a curated record.